AUGAACGCUGGCGGCAUGCUUAACCCAUGCCAGUCGCACGGGAAGUGGUGUUUCCAGUGGCGAACGGGUGAGUAACGCGUAAGAACCUGCCCUUGGGAGGGGAACAACAACUGGAAACGGUUGCUAAUACCCCGUAGGCUGAGGAGCAAAAGGAGAAAUCCGCCCAAGGAGGGGCUCGCGUCUGAUUAGCUAGUUGGUGAGGUAAUAGCUUACCAAGGCGAUGAUCAGUAGCUGGUCCGAGAGGAUGAUCAGCCACACUGGGACUGAGACACGGCCCAGACUCCUACGGGAGGCAGCAGUGGGGAAUUUUCCGCAAUGGGCGAAAGCCUGACGGAGCAAUGCCGCGUGGAGGUGGAAGGCCUACGGGUCGUCAACUUCUUUUCUCGGAGAAGAAACAAUGACGGUAUCUGAGGAAUAAGCAUCGGCUAACUCUGUG
Molecule: ribosomal RNA, 436 nt
Filed under: uncultured bacterium
Lineage: Bacteria
Description: partial 16S ribosomal RNA
Rfam family: Bacterial small subunit ribosomal RNA
Source: RNAcentral